Molecule: long non-coding RNA, 501 nt
Filed under: Olea europaea (common olive)
Lineage: Eukaryota; Viridiplantae; Streptophyta; Magnoliopsida; Lamiales; Oleaceae
Description: long non-coding RNA (OEUR_LNC000632)
Source: RNAcentral
UUCAUUGCAUAGUGUCUUCCCUGUGCUUCCACCACUCCACCUCUACCACAAUCAGAGAACAACCGAGCUAACACAUUUCCAUCUCAACAAAGUUCACAGAUUCUUCCCUUUUCAUGUCGAUCAAGUUCAUAGAUAAAUCCCUAAUUUCUUUCCUGUGCUACCACCAUUUGUAUUAUCUCAACUUGUUUGGUCAAGUUUAUUUGGAGUUUAUGGCAGGCACACCACCAAAACUGAAUUUUGAAGUUAACCAUUUUUUUGUCUAGGUUAUAUUCUACAUGAUGUUUUUAUCUUUGAUAUUUCAUUUUUCUUGUGGGAAGGAGGAGGGGGUUUUGUAGCCCUAUAUUAUUGAGUCAUUUGAGCUUUGACUUAUUGUUAAUUUCUGUUUUGUUGGUAGUGGAUUAAAGUGAGGAUAUAAAAAUGUAGUGUUCAAGUUGAUAUGAUCAAUGUUCUUGCUUUCUACUAAAUCACCUCUGUAAUCUUGCUGGCAUCGUCUUCAUGUUC